CCGCCGGAAGUAAGCGGUUGGUGGUGGCGCCCCGACACCGAGAGCCUGCUCUCACCGCCUGCGCCCCUCCUCUUCUCACUUGGAGCCUGGGAAAAAAUGACCUCGGGACCAGAAUUCACACCUGAGGCGACUGAAAGCGGAAGCAGUCCUUUGGGAAGGUGCCGCCCUCGCAUGGGCAUGAGGAAAAUGGCCCAACGGCGGAGGAAAGAGCAGCCCCAUGGUGACAGGAGUCCAAGGGACCCAACCCUCCCGGAUCCGGGCGCCCAGCCAGCCCUAGGUGUGUCACCCUGGGCAAGUCUUUGGGGAUGCUUGCUACUUAGAGCAAAUUCCUCUUAAGACUGGGAAGAGCAGAACAGCCCGGAGGGACUGGGACAAGAGCUCAGAGUGUGAGAUUUUCACGUGGAAGGAGGGUCCACGCACAGCCCUGUGGAGAACGCUUGCUUGUACACAUCCCAGGGCACUUCGCGGGGUGCAGCUAACAUGCUUGGCUUUCUCCGUCCAUCUGCCACAAGGUCAUUCACUUGGGGUCUUCAGAUUCCCCUCGUCCUCAUUUGCAUGUUUGAUGAAUGAAAAAAAUACAUGGAAUGGUGCUUGCGCAGGAAAAGCCCCAGAUAAACGUUAGCUUAAAAAUUGUAUCAUGAUCUCACUUCAUGCUUCUACACAGGUCUGAUAAUGAUAGUUCUGUUGACCAUUUAUUCACAUCCCCCAGGAAACACCAGUAUAUUGAAAAGAGAUAGUUUUUGCAUUUAUUUUAAAUUCUGCAGCACCUUGCCAAACAUUCAAUAAAUAUUAAAUAUUCAAAUAGAUUGAUAACUAAAUUCUUUAUUCACCAAAAGCCAUUUUAAUUAUGUUCUGAGCAAGUAAGGUAUACUUUUUAGUUAAAAUCAGAAAUCAUUUGAGUCCAUAUAUCAGUAAACUGUCAUCCCAUCAAAAAAA
Heterocephalus glaber (naked mole-rat) is the source of this 936-nucleotide long non-coding RNA. RefSeq lists it as uncharacterized. NCBI's taxonomy places the organism in Eukaryota, Metazoa, Chordata, Mammalia, Rodentia, Bathyergidae. The record is from RefSeq and is a predicted model, not a curated record.